GAUUGUUCACCCACCAAUAGGGAACGUGAGCUGGGUUUAGACCGUCGUGAGACAGGUUAGUUUUACCCUAUUGAUGACAGUGUCGCAAUAGUAAUCCAACCUAGUACGAGAGGAACCGUUGAUUCGCACAAUUGGUCAUCACGCUUGGUUGAAAAGCCAGUGGCGCGAAGCUACCGUGAGCUGGAUUAUGACUGAACGCCUCUAAGUCAGAAUCCGGGCUAGAAGCGACACGUGCGCCCGCCGCCCGUUUGCUAACCAAUAGUAGGGGCCACCCGGCCCCCAAAGGCACGUGUCGUUGGUGAAGCCCGCGCGGCGGAUGAGCCGCGCGGGUUGCCUUGAAGUAUAAUUCUUAUCGAGCGGCGGGUAGAAUCCUUUGCAGACGACUUAAAUACGUGACGGGGUAUUGUAAGUGGCAGAGUGGCCUUGCUGUCACGAUCCACUGAGAU
Molecule: ribosomal RNA, 446 nt
Filed under: Ternstroemia sp. MZ-2020
Lineage: Eukaryota; Viridiplantae; Streptophyta; Magnoliopsida; Ericales; Pentaphylacaceae
Description: partial large subunit ribosomal RNA
Rfam family: Eukaryotic large subunit ribosomal RNA
Source: RNAcentral